UACCUGGUUGAUCCUGCCAGUAGUCAUAUGCUUGUCUCAAAGAUUAAGCCAUGCAUGUGCAAGUACACGCCAAAUUAAGGUGAAACCGCGAAUGGCUCAUUAAAUCAGUUGUGGUUCCUUAGAUCGUACCAAACUUUACUUGGAUAACUGUGGUAAUUCUAGAGCUAAUACAUGCCAAUAGUGCCUCAAGCCCGUGAGGGUAAGGGGAGCAUUUAUUAGACCAAAACCAAUGGGGUUUUCCCCUUUUUCUUGGUGACUCUGAAUAACUUUUUGCUGAUCGCACGGCCAUGAGCUGGCGACAUAUCUUUCAAGUGUCUGCCUUAUCAACUUUCGACGGUACGUUAAACGCCUACCGUGGUUAUAACAGGUGACGGGGAAUCAGGGUUCGAUUCCGGAGAGGGAGCCUGAGAGACGGCUGCCACAUCUAAGGAAGGCAGCAGGCGCGCAAAUUACCCACUCCCAGCAUGGGGAGGUAGUGACGAAAAAUAACAAUACGGGACUCGUCCGAGGCCUCGUAAUUGGAAUGAGUACAAUCUAAAUCCCUUAACAAGGAUCUAUUGGAGGGCAAGUCUGGUGCCAGCAGCCGCGGUAAUUCCAGCUCCAAUAGCGUAUAUUAAAGUUGUUGCGGUUAAAAAGCUCGUAGUUGAAUCUCAGUUCUGGGCCAGCACGGGUCCGCCACACACACUGGUGGACUGCUGACUGGCCUGGUGCAAAAUCGCCCGGCUUCUCCCACAAUGCUCUUCACCGAGUGUCGUGGGUGGCCGACACGUUUACUUUGAGAAAACCAGAGUGUUUAAAGCAGGCGCAAAACGCCAGAAUGACUGUGCAUGGAAUAAUGGAAGAGGAUCUCGUUUCUGUCUUUGUUGGUUCUUCGGAAGACGAGAUAAUGAUUAAUAGGAACAGACGGGGGCAUUCGUAUUGCGACGUUAGAGGUGAAAUUCUUGGAUCGUCGCACGACGAACUACUGCGAAAGCAUUUGCCAAGAAUGUUUUCGUUAAUCAAGAACGAAAGUUAGAGGUUCGAAGGCGAUCAGAUACCGCCCUAGUUCUAACCAUAAACGAUGCCGACUGGCGAUCCGCCCCAGUUAAUUAAACGACUGGGCGGGCAGCCUCCGGGAAACCAAAGUCUUUGGGUUCCGGGGGAAGUAUGGUUGCAAAGCUGAAACUUAAAGGAAUUGACGGAAGGGCACCACCAGGAGUGGAGCCUGCGGCUUAAUUUGACUCAACACGGGAAACCUCACCAGGCCCGGACACCAAAAGGAUUGACAGAUUGAGAGCUCUUUCUUGAUUUGGUGGGUGGUGGUGCAUGGCCGUUCUUAGUUGGUGGAGCGAUUUGUCUGGUUAAUUCCGAUAACGAACGAGACUCUAGCCUGUUAACUAGCCAGUGGAUCAAUUAUUUCAAUGCGGCGAAGCUAGGGCGACUCUUUGUGGGUUUGUCUCUGGUGUGUAGUCGCGUCCACUGAGCCUUCUUAAAGGGACAGGCGGCUUUUAGCCGCACGAGACGGAGCAAUAACAGGUCUGUGAUGCCCUUAGAUGUCCUGGGCCGCACGCGCGCUACAUUGAAGGAAUCAGCGUGCACUCCCAGCCCGAGAGGGCCGGGUAACCCGCUGAAAUUCCCUCGUGAUAGGGAUCGGGGAUUGCAACUAUCCCCCGUGAACGAGGAAUUCCCAGUAAGCGCGAGUCAUGAGCUCGCGUUGAUUACGUCCCUGCCCUUUGUACACACCGCCCGUCGCUACUACCGAUUGAAUGAUUUAGUGAGGCCUUUGGACUGGCUCGCUGGUGCGUACCUUUAGGUGUCGCGCUGGUUACUGGGCCGGGAAGCUGGCCAAACUUGACCAUUUAGAGGAAGUAAAAGUCGUAACAAGGUUUCCGUAGGUGAACCUGCGGAAGGAUCA
This 1894-nucleotide ribosomal RNA is filed under the name Sarsiella misakiensis. RNAcentral describes it as "SSU rRNA". It matches the Rfam family "Eukaryotic small subunit ribosomal RNA". Lineage: Eukaryota; Metazoa; Arthropoda; Ostracoda; Myodocopida; Sarsiellidae. The record is from RNAcentral.